This 253-nucleotide ribosomal RNA is filed under the name uncultured bacterium. RNAcentral describes it as "partial 16S ribosomal RNA". It matches the Rfam family "Bacterial small subunit ribosomal RNA", at positions 524 to 776 of the family's 1533-position model. The record is from RNAcentral.
UACGAAGGGGGCUAGCGUUGCUCGGAAUCACUGGGCGUAAAGCGCACGUAGGCGGGUUGUUAAGUCGGGGGUGAAAUCCUGGAGCUCAACUCCAGAACUGCCUUCGAUACUGGCGACCUUGAGUCCGGGAGAGGUGAGUGGAACUCCGAGUGUAGAGGUGAAAUUCGUAGAUAUUCGGAAGAACACCAGUGGCGAGGGCGGCUCACUGGCCCGGUACUGACGCUGAGGUGCGAAAGCGUGGGGAGCAAACAGG